UUAAAGGAAUUGACGGGGCCGCACAAGCGGUGGAGCAUGUGGUUUAAUUCGAUGCAACGCGAAGAACCUUACCUGGGCUUGACAUCCCGGGAAUCCCUUGGAAACAAGGGAGUGCCCUUCGGGAACCUGGAGACAGGUGCUGCAUGGCUGUCGUCAGCUCGUGUCGUGAGAUGUAGGGUUAAGUCCCGCAACGAGCGCAACCCUUGUCUUUAAUUGCCAUCAUUGAGUUGGGCACUUUAAAGAGACUGCCGGUGUUAAACCGGAGGAAGGUAGGGAUGACGUCAAGUCCUCAUGGCCUUUAUGCCCAGGGCUACACACGUGCUACAAUGGGUGGUACAAAGGGCAGCCACUUAGCGAUAAGGAGCCAAUCCCGUAAAGCCGGUCUCAGUCCGGAUUGGAGUCUGCAACUCGACUCCAUGAAGUUGGAAUCGCUAGUAAUCGCAGAUCAGCACGCUGCGGUGAAUACGUUCCCGGGCCUU
This 479-nucleotide ribosomal RNA is filed under the name uncultured Desulfocapsa sp. Its description in RNAcentral is "bacterial SSU rRNA". It matches the Rfam family "Bacterial small subunit ribosomal RNA", at positions 901 to 1382 of the family's 1533-position model. The record is from RNAcentral. Lineage: Bacteria; Pseudomonadati; Thermodesulfobacteriota; Desulfobulbia; Desulfobulbales; Desulfocapsaceae.